UACGUAGGGUGCAAGCGUUAAUCGGAAUUACUGGGCGUAAAGCGUGCGCAGGCGGUGAUGUAAGACAGAUGUGAAAUCCCCGGGCUCAACCUGGGAACUGCAUUUGUGACUGCAUCGCUGGAGUGCGGCAGAGGGGGAUGGAAUUCCGCGUGUAGCAGUGAAAUGCGUAGAUAUGCGGAGGAACACCGAUGGCGAAGGCAGCCUCCUGGGCCAACACUGACGCUCAUGCACGAAAGCGUGGGGAGCAAACAGG
RNAcentral lists this ribosomal RNA (253 nucleotides) under uncultured bacterium. RNAcentral describes it as "partial 16S ribosomal RNA". It matches the Rfam family "Bacterial small subunit ribosomal RNA", at positions 524 to 776 of the family's 1533-position model. The record is from RNAcentral.